CAGAGUUGCAAGACUCCCUAACCAUUGUGAACCUACCUGCUACCGUUGCUUCGGCGGGGCGGGCCCUCAGCGGCCCUCGCGCCCACCCCCUCGGGGGCAGCCCGCCGGAGGAGUACCCAAACUCUUAGCAUACAUUGGCCUCUCUGAGUAUGCUUACUAAAUAAGUCA
RNAcentral lists this unclassified non-coding RNA (168 nucleotides) under soil metagenome. RNAcentral's name for it is "partial internal transcribed spacer 1". The record is from RNAcentral.